Molecule: ribosomal RNA, 120 nt
Filed under: Periophthalmus magnuspinnatus
Lineage: Eukaryota; Metazoa; Chordata; Actinopteri; Gobiiformes; Gobiidae
Source: RNAcentral
AGAGGUGGAUAAACCGCCUUAUCAAAUCCUGAUCUUGUGAGACCUCAUUACCUAAGCCGGGCUGGGACUGGUUAGUACUUGGAUGGGAGACCGCUGGGAAUACCAGGUAAGACACUUCAC